Molecule: RNA transcript, 2391 nt
Organism: Monopterus albus (swamp eel)
Lineage: Eukaryota; Metazoa; Chordata; Actinopteri; Synbranchiformes; Synbranchidae
Exons: 5
Source: RefSeq, a predicted model, not a curated record
GUAGCAGCAGAGUAGGUGAGCUCAGUGUGUUGGAGUUUAGAAAGGACUGCAUGGACUGUUUGACUAACAUCAUCCAGAAAAUGCAAGAUAAGAGCCCACUGAAGUACACGGUUGUGAGGCAGGUGGCAUGUUUGGACCCAGCAAACAUGUUCUCAGACCCUAAUUUGUGCCAGGAAAGAAUGAAGCGACUUGUACAUAGGUUUCUGCAAGACCACCAGCUGCCAGGAGGCAUCUCUGCUGGUGAUGUAAUUGUCCAGCAGUUUGGAAACUUUUUGUCUCUGGAGGCAAAAUCUGAGUCAUUGUCUUUGUUCCAACCCAUGAAGACAAGGCUGGAUGUUUUCCUGCAUGGUCUCCUCUGUCAGUCUUACCCUGAGCUCUGGACUUUCUGCAAGAAACUACUGCUCCUCUCCCAUGGCCAAGCAACAGUGGAGAGGGGUUUUUCUGUGAACAAGGAGGUAGAGGCUGAUAAUAUGCAGGAGGACACAGUUGAUGCUCAGAGGAUGAUAUGUGACUAUGUUUCUGUCUGUGGGGGGGUUCUAAAAGUUCCUCUGACGAAGGAGAUCCUGGCAGCUGCAGCUUCUGCAAGAUCUCAGUAUCGGCUACACCUGGAUCAGGAAAAGAGAAAGCAGGAGAGCAAUGCACAAAGAGAAAAGAGAAAAGCUGCAGAGGACCUCCUUGAGCAGCUCAAAAAGAGGAAGAUGGUACUAGCUGAGGUGGCAAACAGCCUUGAUAAAGAAGCAGACAAACUGACAGAGCAAGCUGAGGGAGCUGAAAGAAGUCGGUGGUCUGAAGAACAUUAAGGCUGAGCUUCCUGACUGGCCAGUGAGCGAUGACACCGUCCUGCAUCUGGCGACGGCUGAAGCACUGACCACUGGAGCUGAAAGAAGUCGGUGGUCUGAAGAACAUUAAGGCUGAGCUUCCUGACUGGCCAGUGAGCGAUGACACCGUCCUGCAUCUGGCGACGGCUGAAGCACUGACCACUGGUGAGGUCAAAGUUGCAGCGCACCCAUUUGCUCUCUGCAGCUUCUGCCUCUCCUCUGCUCGUUCUGUUUCAGCUGAGGAGUUGAUUGGAUUGAUCUAAUAGUCAGAGCAGCCGUUUCUUGCUCAAGGGCAUGUUAGCAGGAUGGAUGAUUGCUGACAGUGCAGCUUGGAGCCGAGUCCUCUGGUGGAGCGAUGGCCUUCAUACUCAUAUUGCCACCCUGCUGCGGGAAUUGCAGAUCUGAUAGUUCACUUUUCUGUGUUAUACAUGUAACGAUCACAUCUGGAUCCCAUGGGACUGUAAAGCAGAUGCUGUUUUCUGCACAGUGGGUACAACUUGCACUAUGCAUGAAAUCAGAGAUUCUGGGUUGAGCAGAUUUUCAUGAAUGUCUUUUAUGUUUUCUCUUUUAUGAUCUUAAAGCAACUUGUGCAUCAGUGAGCCACUAUAAUUUACACCCUGGAUUUCCUUCAUCCAGUUUUAUGUCAACCUGCAAACGCAGGUAAACUAUACCACACAAAUGAGGCCACCUCAGUGAGUGUGAUUCUUCAUGACAUCUGCAUACGAGUCCCUCUGGUUUAAGGCAUCUAAGCUCUAGUUAGUUAGGUCAAAUUUCUUGUGUGCCUUAGUUCUACUCCUGGUUCCUAUCUAAGCUGUGAAGGUAGUAGCUGGCACUGGGUCCAGGCCCAUUAGACUCUUUUUAAACCUGAUUUUUAUAACCACAAGCACAACUCAAGUUGUUAAGAGACAGUUAUAAAAAAAAAAAAAAAAACUAAAAAAAUCAUUAAAUAAAUAAAUACAGUAUGCGCAAAUAAACGAGCACUAUCUAGUAACUGUUCUAAAACUAAAAAUAAUUUUGAUAUUUUGACAUAUACAAUUUAUUCACAUUCUUGUCAAGUGUGAGAUAAGCACAUUGAUACCAGUUUAAUGUCUGUAUGUUAAUAUGACGCUACUGUUAGCAGGCACUUAGCUUAGCUUUGUUUUUUGUAACAGAACCAAAUGAGAUAAUAUGUUAAUUAGUGAACUUUAGAGGGCACAUUUGGUUAGUGUUUGACAGAGCCAGGCUUGCUGUUUCCCUGUUUCCAAUUUUUAUGCUAAGCUAAACUAACUGACUGGUAGCAGUAGAUAUAAGAUAUUUAGAGUUACAGCCAUGAUGCGUGACUUGAUGUACUAACAGUCUACAUACACAUGGUUCAUGGGGUUUUAAAAUAUAUUCCAUGUAACAGUUUCAGAGAUUAUUGUUUAUGAUAAUGAUCUAUGUAUACAUUAUCCAAUUAUUUGUUAGAAUGUCAGGUAUUACUUCAAUUCAUCCAUCCUUCUUAUUUUUCUACUUUUGGCUGCUCCCGUUAGGGGUCGCCACAGCGAAUCAUCAGUUGCCACCCAAGUGUCUAAUUUAGAGUCGCCAAUCAGCCUAA